UGGGGAAUAUUGCACAAUGGGGGAAACCCUGAUGCAGCGACGCCGCGUGAACGAAGAAGGUAUUCGUAUCGUAAAGUUCUGUCCUAUGGGUAGAUAAUGACAGUACCAUAGAAGAAAGCUCCGGCUAAAUACGUGCCAGCAGCCGCGGUAAUACGUAUGGAGCGAGCGUUGUCCGGAAUUAUUGGGCGUAAAGGGUACGCAGGCGGUUUAAUAAGUCGAAUGUUAAAGAUCGGGGCUCAACCCCGUAAAGCAUUGGAAACUGAUAAACUUGAGUAGUGGAGAGGAAAGUGGAAUUCCUAGUGUAGUGGUGAAAUACGUAGAUAUUAGGAGGAAAACCAGUAGCGAAGGCGACUUUCUGGACACAAACUGACGCUGAGGUACGAAAGCGUGGGGAGCAAACAGG
RNAcentral lists this ribosomal RNA (403 nucleotides) under bacterium. RNAcentral's name for it is "partial 16S ribosomal RNA". It matches the Rfam family "Bacterial small subunit ribosomal RNA", at positions 355 to 776 of the family's 1533-position model. The record is from RNAcentral.